CGUGACUGCCAAGUAACAGGAAUGAAACUGCUUGGCUCUGAGGAAUCAGAACAUGAAGUGCCUACACUUUGGUUUAAUGAUUAUCUGGCUUUUAAAUAGUCGUUUCUCCACUGCGUGCAUGUGACUUUAUCGUUUGUGGGGAGCACAUUGCAAGACUAUAUACUUUUAACAGGAUAACCAAAGAAGAAGGCUGCUGGAGACACGAGCGAGGCAAGUUAUCUUACAGCAAAACGGAAAGAAAGUGUCCCAGAACAGCUACCCCAUCAUCAAGCCUGCGCUCCAGUCUAAUGGGUCGUCUGUUAGAGCAAGUCAUGAGGUGCGGUGAAUGGACUCCCGUGAUGAGGUAAUACAACGGAAUCAGACAUAUAUCAUCUUGGUGAAAAAGAUCAAUUUAGAAGCAACAUUUAAAGUACUCAAUUUCCCAAUAUCACGAAAUAGAAAAUGUAGAAAGUACUGUGUGAGACAAAACAAUUUUCCAAGGCACGAGUCCACUUCAGUGUAUGUAGCAGGGAUAUUAAAGAGGAAGAAAAGAAAACCUUCAACAAUGUCUUCUGUCUUAUGAACAUUAGGGAAGGGUUUUGUUUGCCACAUAAGACUUGAGUCUGACUAAAAAGAGCAGGCCGGGAGUGGUCCCUGAUGGUGCGACCAGGAAUUAACCCAGGUUCAUGAACUGCCUUUUUGGAGCCUAUUCCCUAUGGUUAUAGUCUACCAUCGAGGGAAUCCGAGACAUGAACCCAAAGCAGGUGCCUGAAGCAGGAACUGAAUCAGAGACCAUGGAGGAAUGCUGCUUACUGACUGACUUGCUACUGUGAAUUGCUCAGCUAUGUUUCUUAUACAGCCAGUAUCCACUGGCCCGAGGGUGGGGCUGUUUACAGCUGGCUUGGCCAUUCUAUAUCAGUUAGCAACAUAUCCACAGACUCAUCUGAUGGAUGGGUGUAAUCCUUAAGUUGAUAUUCCUUCUUUCCAGGUUGUUUUCAGUUCCCACAUCAGUCUGGGUGAGAGUUGAAUGUGCUCCCACACGCCAGUGUCGCCAUCGCUGCCAUCCUCGUGUCAUGGCGGGCAUCACGUCCUGAGGAAGAACAGGCCGUCCAAGGGGAAUCUAUUUCCAUAGCCUUUUAUUUUACUUAAAGCUGUCUAUGUCUAACAUAAAACUGUAUUUUAUUCAACCACCAGAGGGAGCCCCCAAAUCUAUGGUUUCUGAAAAGGAAAUAUGACUGAAGUGUCAACUUUAUAAAUUUUAUGCUCAACAAUUAAAAAUCCAACGCAUUCCAUUUCAUGUCAUGGCUUCCAUGAGGGUUUUCAUACAGAAGAUGUCAGGCUUUUCUCCUGCUCUAUAUGCCGUAUCAUUUUGGUUAACAGUUUUUAUAUAAUACUCUAUUUCUGCACGAUUUUGAUUUUUUUUAGUAGUUUGAGUAAUUCUGAUAUUUUAAUUAUAUAGUUGAUUGAGACUCACCAAUAUCUUGCUUCAAAAUGAUUUUCCUUCCAUAAUUAUAUUAAGUCCUAACUUUUUUCAGGUGUAUUUUUGUCUUCAAAUUGUAACCCCAAACCAAGGGUUUGCCACAUCUAUUCCUUUCCAUAUUUAUUAAUUUUGAUACAUUGCUUGUCUGACCAGGAUUUAUUAUUAAAUAUUUAAGAAGAGUCUUGGGGUUUUAGAAUUAUGAGUCUUUUUCAUAUUUGGGAUUGUUAACCUAAUGCAUGUUUGACAAAUAGGGUGACCAUGAUAUUCUCAGGCGUUUCCUUCCAUCAUCUGCAAACUCAUUUUCUCCCAUGGAGAAUCAAGUGAUUCAAAUGUUUCCACCAAUAUUAUUUACACAUGGGAUGAGGAGGAUGUUAUUCAACUUUUUCCUCUUGGCAGAGCUGGCUAUUUCAGACAAAGGAGAGCCCUGGGCCUCCCAGAACUAACCUUCGAUUGCUGAUACCUUGUCAGUAAACUUGAGUUUUCAUGUCCAUGCAGGUCUCCCUCUCCCUCUCCCUCCCUCCGUCUCUCUCCAUCCCUCCCAUAUAGACUUAUACAUGCAUCAUGCUGCUGUCACUACAGCAGUUGAGGUAGCAAAGAUACCCACUAUCUCCAAGCAUUUCCUCCCGUCUGCUAUCUAUUGUGAUAAGAACACUUACCACAGUAGCAAAACUUUAGGGAAGGGUAGCUCCUAAGAAUUAGUUUUGUCUACUGUUUGUGCGUCCCACUGUCAAGUGUCCCUGUUUUUUUUUCUUUCACACAUUAAUGUCAUCAAUCUUGUUUUGUGACUGUGAAAAAUUGUUGUGCAUGAAGGUUAAGCAAAUUACCCAGGGUCACAGAGCAGACGAGUGAAACCUGGGCCCAGAUCCAGGCCUCUGAACGGCUGGGUUGACAUAUGGUCUCCAGUGCUCCACGCAGCUGCAGGCUGGCCUGCUCCUGCCCACUACACUUAGUAAAAGUCGGCUAUUUUAACUCCCAAUCUGAGUCAAAGUCAAUGGAAUUUCACUAAAGUUACUAGAAUGUUGUCUCAGUAGAAAAAUGAAUUAUGAAUAAUGAAUAGAGGUGAAACAGAUUCAUCCCUAGUCAGUAUUGACAGAGUCAUUCUUCUUCUUCUCUUUCUUUAACUUCCAAAUUCUCCAGAAAGUGCUUACAGAUGUGUAAUAUUUCCACGAGAAGUUUCUAUGACAACACCACCUGAAUACUAACGUUUUAGACAAAGUAUUCCUUUGAUAUUUGUAUAAUUGCCUGAUAGUUAUAUGUAAAUCUUUAUUGGAUAAAUAAAGACUAUUUUAAAAUGAA
Non-coding RNA from Myodes glareolus (Bank vole), 2755 nucleotides. Lineage: Eukaryota; Metazoa; Chordata; Mammalia; Rodentia; Cricetidae. The record is from RefSeq and is a predicted model, not a curated record.